UACGUAGGGUCCGAGCGUUGUCCGGAAUUAUUGGGCGUAAAGGGCUCGUAGGCGGUUAGUCACGUCGGGGGUGAAAACUCAGGGCUCAACCCUGAGCGUGCUUCCGAUACGGGCUGACUAGAGGUAUGCAGGGGAGAACGGAAUUCCUGGUGUAGCGGUGGAAUGCGCAGAUAUCAGGAGGAACACCGGUGGCGAAGGCGGUUCUCUGGGCAUUACCUGACGCUGAGGAGCGAAAGCAUGGGGAGCGAACAGG
Molecule: ribosomal RNA, 253 nt
Filed under: uncultured bacterium
Lineage: Bacteria
Description: partial 16S ribosomal RNA
Rfam family: Bacterial small subunit ribosomal RNA
Source: RNAcentral